CCCUUAGAUGUUCUGGGCCGCACGCGCGCUACACUGAUGCAUUCAACGAGUUUUGUUUGUUCCUUGGCCGAGAGGCCUGGGCAAUCUUUUGAACUUGCAUCGUGAUAGGGAUAGAUUAUUGCAAUUAUUGAUCUUGAACGAGGAAUUCCUAGUAAACGCAGAUCAUCAAUCUGCAUUGAUUACGUCCCUGCCCUUUGUACACACCGCCCGUCGCACCUACCGAUUGAAUGGUCCGGUGAAGCCUCGGGAUUGUGGUUGGUUUCCUUUAUUGGAGAUUGAUUGCGAGAACUUGUCUAAACCUUAUCAUUUAGAGGAAGGUGAAGUCGUAACA
Molecule: ribosomal RNA, 331 nt
Filed under: uncultured eukaryote
Lineage: Eukaryota
Description: partial 18S ribosomal RNA
Rfam family: Eukaryotic small subunit ribosomal RNA
Source: RNAcentral